Non-coding RNA from Schizosaccharomyces pombe (fission yeast), 2103 nucleotides. The record is from the annotation of a GenBank genome assembly. NCBI's taxonomy places the organism in Eukaryota, Fungi, Ascomycota, Schizosaccharomycetes, Schizosaccharomycetales, Schizosaccharomycetaceae.
AAGCAAGAAACAAUAUAAGGAGCAUAUAAAAGCUGAAACUAGAUAAGAAGAUAAAAAAAUUAACAUUUAUGCCUGAUGACCCAACUUUACUAAAAGCCUGAAAGGGCUAAUGAUAGAUGAAACCAAAGUUUUAGGUUGACUUGGCUGCAACAGCUUCCUUAACCUUAGCAUCAAACUUUGCAACAGCAGAUUCAACGGCUGACAAACCUUCGUCUAAGUCGGCUUCUGGAAUAGUUAAAGGAGGAAGGAAGCGGAAAACUGAAGGAUUAUUGAGUGAACAGUAGACUUGGACGUGAUAUGUAUCGGCAAGGUCAUUGACAAUAGGAGUUGCAUAGUAUUCGCCGAAUUCUUCUUGAACUGACUCAGGAAUGGGAUAAAAUUCAAUACCAACUAUCAUUCCUCGACCACGAACAUCCUUCAUAACAUGAGGGAAUUUUGUUUGAAGUUUAUUAAGACGAUCAAACAUGAUACCACCUAACUUGCGGCAUCUAGAAAGAAGGUCGUUUUGCACGAUAUAAUCGAUGGUAGCAACACCGGCGGCAAGUCCAAGAGUGUUUUCUUGAUAAGUGGCAGUGUGCAGAAAAGCCGUUUCAAGGGAAUUGUAAGCAGCAUUCCAAAGCUCCUCUGUAGCGAUAUACCCUGCAAAUGGAAUGAGUCCGCCUGAAAAUCCUUUGGCGAAAGCGAUACAAUCCGGAAUGAUGUUUUCGUAUUCACAGGCCCAGAAUUUACCGGUACGACCACAACCGGUUUGAAUUUCGUCUAAAACGAGAUAUGUAUCGUACUUAGUGCAAAGUUCACGAGCCUUUGCAAGAUAACCUGGAGGAGGGACAAUAACACCACCUUCGCCUUGAAUAGGCUCAACAAUGAAUGAACGGUACAUACCAGAGGAUAAGGCAACUUGAAGUGCUUCCGCAUCACCGUAAGGGACGUAGUCAACGUCGAAAGGAGCAGGACUUUGAUAUUUUUGCCAUUUUUCUUUGCCGCCUAAAAAGACGGCACCAGUGGUUUUACCAUGGAAAGAGUUCAAAGUAGAAAGAAACUUUUUCUUGUUAGGCUUAUAACGGGUAGCAAGGCGAAUCAAUUUAAUAACUCCCUCAUUAGCUUCAGCACCACCGGUUGCAGUCCAUGUGCGAGUAAGUUUUUGACCAGGAGAUAGCAAAGCCAUAUUGCGACCAAAGGCAGCUGCAAGGUUACGAUAGGAAAUGGCACCCAUCAUAUAUAACUUGGCAUCAAAGCAUUUCUGUAAGCAAUCCCAAACAUACUGAUUGUUGUUACCGACCGUUACGACUCCAACGCCUCCAAUUAAGUCCAGAUGCUCAGUACCCUUUUCAUCAACAAAACGAGAAUUAUCAGCUUUCACAAAAUUGCGAGCGUGGCCAUGGACAGUGCGUAACUUGUUUAAGUGGUCGAGUUGUAACUUGACAGUCGUUUCUGGGUCCAUUUUCAUGGCUUCGUCGAAGCACCACAAACCCUCAGGAUAAUUGCUGGCUGUUCCAUUUUCGGAGGAGGCAUCGGUUUUUGAACCAUUUGUGUUAAGUUCAACCGUCUUUGAGGUAGCAGUAGCAGUGGACGUGGAAUCAAUCAUGAUAAGUGCGUAAAUUUAACGUAAAUAAACGAGCAGGAAAGAUAGUUCUUAACUCAAAGCUUCUUAAAUGUAAUUUCCAAAUGAAUCUUUACAGUAUAUGGUUACCUUGUAUAAUCCACUCCUUAGAUUGAAGAAAAGGUCGAAUGAAUGUUAACCUUUUACAAUUGUUGGCAUUCACAGGCAGCUUUAGCCUAUAUAUAUAGUAAAAAUCAUCAAUGCCAUAUUCCUAUGUACUUGACCGAAAAAUGGCUAUUACCUCUCUCACAUCCCCCGAUCAAAGUCGUACUGCCCAGAUAGCAAUUAGCGUACUACAGCCUUCGAGUUGGCCGACGGGCAGAACCGAGAAGAAGAUAUACUCUAAUAUUUGAUCAUUACAGAAUUGGUCUCAAUUAUAAGAAUUCAAGAAAAAAUAUCAUGCAAUGAAGUGUAUUUAGUUCAAAAAAGCUUUGGCGCUAAUAAUAAUGUUGGAGCAGAAACAAAUGAUUGCGCAGAACUAUUUUACAUAGGAUAAAGUAAGC